GUGAACGCUGGCGGUAGGCCUAACACAUGCAAGUCGAACGGCAGCACAGUAAGAGCUUGCUCUUACGGGUAGCGAGUGGCGGACGGGUGAGGAAUACAUCGGAAUCUACUUUUUCGUGGGGGAUAACGUAGGGAAACUUACGCUAAUACCGCAUACGACCUACGGGUGAAAGCAGGGGAUCUUCGGACCUUGCGCGAUUGAAUGAGCCGAUGUCGGAUUAGCUAGUUGGCGGGGUAAAGGCCCACCAAGGCGACGAUCCGUAGCUGGUCUGAGAGGAUGAUCAGCCACACUGGAACUGAGACACGGUCCAGACUCCUACGGGAGGCAGCAGUGGGGAAUAUUGGACAAUGGGCGCAAGCCUGAUCCAGCCAUACCGCGUGGGUGAAGAAGGCCUUCGGGUUGUAAAGCCCUUUUGUUGGGAAAGAAAAGCAGCAGGUUAAUACCCCGCUGUUCUGACGGUACCCAAAGAAUAAGCACCGGCUAACUUCGUG
Molecule: ribosomal RNA, 491 nt
Filed under: uncultured bacterium
Lineage: Bacteria
Description: partial 16S ribosomal RNA
Rfam family: Bacterial small subunit ribosomal RNA
Source: RNAcentral